AUCUUCGGACCUUGCGCUAAUAGAUGAGCCUAAGUCGGAUUAGCUAGUUGGUGGGGUAAAGGCCUACCAAGGCGACGAUCUGUAGCGGGUCUGAGAGGAUGAUCCGCCACACUGGGACUGAGACACGGCCCAGACUCCUACGGGAGGCAGCAGUGGGGAAUAUUGGACAAUGGGCGCAAGCCUGAUCCAGCCAUGCCGCGUGUGUGAAGAAGGCCUUUUGGUUGUAAAGCACUUUAAGCGAGGAGGAGGCUCCUUUAGUUAAUACCUAAAGUGAGUGGACGUUACUCGCAGAAUAAGCACCGGCUAACUCUGUGCCAGCAGCCGCGGUAAUACAGAGGGUGCGAGCGUUAAUCGGAUUUACUGGGCGUAAAGCGUGCGUAGGCGGCUUUUUAAGUCGGAUGUGAAAUCCCUGAGCUUAACUUAGGAAUUGCAUUCGAUACUGGAAAGCUAGAGUAUGGGAGAGGAUGGUAGAAUUCCAGGUGUAGCGGUGAANAUGCGUAUGAGAUCUGGAGNGAAUACCGAUGGCGAAGGCAGCCAUCUGGCCUAAUACUGACGCUGAGGUACGAAAGCAUGGGGAGCAAACAGGAUUAGAUACCCUGGUAGUCCAUGCCGUAAACGAUGUCUACUAGCCGUUGGGGCCUUUGAGGCUUUAGUGGCGCAGCUAACGCGAUAAGUAGACCGCCUGGGGAGUACGGUCGCAANGACUAAAACUCAAAUGAAUUGACGGGGGCCCGCACAAGCGGUGGAGCAUGUGGUUUAAUUCGAUGCAACGCGAAGAACCUUACCUGGCCUUGACAUACUAAGAACUUUCCAGAGAUGGAUUGGUGCCUUCGGGAACUUAGAUACAGGUGCUGCAUGGCUGUCGUCAGCUCGUGUCGUGAGAUGUUGGGUUAAGUCCCGCAACGAGCGCAACCCUUUUCCUUAUUUGCCAGCGGGUAAUGCCGGGAACUUUAAGGAUACUGCCAGUGACAAACUGGAGGAAGGCGGGGACGACGUCAAGUCAUCAUGGCCCUUACGGCCAGGGCUACACACGUGCUACAAUGGUCGGUACAAAGGGUUGCUACCUCGCGAGAGGAUGCUAAUCUCAAAAAGCCGAUCGUAGUCCGGAUCGCAGUCUGCAACUCGACUGCGUGAAGUCGGAAUCGCUAGUAAUCGCGGAUCAGAAUGCCGCGG
This 1173-nucleotide ribosomal RNA is filed under the name uncultured Acinetobacter sp. RNAcentral's name for it is "bacterial SSU rRNA". It matches the Rfam family "Bacterial small subunit ribosomal RNA", at positions 208 to 1362 of the family's 1533-position model. The record is from RNAcentral. Lineage: Bacteria; Pseudomonadati; Pseudomonadota; Gammaproteobacteria; Moraxellales; Moraxellaceae.